RNAcentral lists this ribosomal RNA (580 nucleotides) under uncultured bacterium. RNAcentral describes it as "bacterial SSU rRNA". It matches the Rfam family "Bacterial small subunit ribosomal RNA", at positions 331 to 929 of the family's 1533-position model. The record is from RNAcentral.
CCAGACUCCUACGGGGGCAGCAGUGGGGAAUAUUGGACAAUGGACCGAGAGUCUGAUCCAGCAAUUCUGUGUGCACGAUGAAGUUUUUCGGAAUGUAAAGUGCUUUCAGUUGGGAAGAAAAAAAUGACGGUACCAACAGAAGAAGUGACGGCUAAAUACGUGCCAGCAGCCGCGGUAAUACGUAUGUCACGAGCGUUAUCCGGAUUUAUUGGGCGUAAAGCGCGUCUAGGUGGUUAUGUAAGUCUGAUGUGAAAAUGCAGGGCUCAACUCUGUAUUGCGUUGGAAACUGUAUAACUAGAGUACUGGAGAGGUAAGCGGAACUACAAGUGUAGAGGUGAAAUUCGUAGAUAUUUGUAGGAAUGCCGAUGGGGAAGCCAGCUUACUGGACAGAUACUGACGCUAAAGCGCGAAAGCGUGGGUAGCAAACAGGAUUAGAUACCCUGGUAGUCCACGCUGUAAACGAUGAUUACUAGGUGUUGGGGGUCGAACCUCAGCGCCCAAGCAAACGCGAUAAGUAAUCCGCCUGGGGAGUACGUACGCAAGUAUGAAACUCAAAGGAAUUGACGGGGGCCCGCACAAG